Molecule: ribosomal RNA, 429 nt
Filed under: Gemmatimonadota bacterium
Lineage: Bacteria; Pseudomonadati; Gemmatimonadota
Description: Gemmatimonadetes bacterium partial 16S ribosomal RNA
Rfam family: Bacterial small subunit ribosomal RNA
Source: RNAcentral
UAGGGAAUCUUCGGCAAUGGACGAAAGUCUGACCGAGCAACGCCGCGUGAGUGAAGAAGGUUUUCGGAUCGUAAAACUCUGUUGUUAGAGAAGAACAAGGACGUUAGUAACUGAACGUCCCCUGACGGUAUCUAACCAGAAAGCCACGGCUAACUACGUUCCAGCAGCCGCGGUAAUACGUAGGUGGCAAGCGUUGUCCGGAUUUAUUGGGCGUAAAGCGAGCGCAGGCGGGUGCUUAAGGCUGAUGUGAAAGCCCCCGGCUCAACCGGGGAGGGUUAUUGGAAACUGGGAGACUUGAGUGCAGAAGAGGGGAGUGGAAUUCCAUGUGUAGCGGUGAAAUGCGUAGAUAUAUGGAGGAACACCAGUGGCGAAGGCGGCUCUCUGGUCUGUAACUGACGCUGAGGCUCGAAAGCGUGGAGAGCAAACAGG